GGGCUGGGGGCUGGGGGCCUGGGCUGCAGCUUGGGCGGCCCGCCCCGCCCCGGCGUCCCGCGACACCGGCUCGCAGACCGUCACAUGCCACACCUCUGCAGACCGGAGGGUGCGGCCGCACAUGGCUGGGGAGGCGUGAGUUAGCCGGGCUUGCGGCACGGAGACUUUCCUGGAGGAGACCCUGAAGGACCUGGACAAGUGCUAUGAGAAGGUCCGCCGCGACACGGACUGCGCGCAGAAGCCGCGGGUGCCACCCUGCGCCCAGCGGGCCCUGAUCCGCAGCUAGGAGCCGGGCGAUCAGAAGAUCCAGAUCAAGAGCCAGAGGGUGGAGCUGGUGGAGAGCCUCACGCGGCAGGUAGACAGCCACGUGGAGCCGUUCCACCCGCAGCAGGAGCAGGGCGACGCAGCGCGACGGCGGCAAGGUCGGCCCGGACAGGCCCAGGGGCGAGGCGGACGCGCAGGCGGAGAAGUCCAACAGCAAAGCGUUCUCGGCGGCAGCGCAACAACUAGAACCGUGAGAACGCGUCCAGCAACCGCGACCACGACGACGUCACCUCGGGCACGCCCAAGGAGAAGAAAGCCCAGACCUCUAAGAAGAAGCAGAGCUCCAUGGCCAAGGCGUAGCGGCAGGCGUCCCCCGCAGACCUCCCCAUCGACCCCAGCGAGCCCUCCUACUGGGAGAUGAUCCGCUGCGACAACGAAUGCCCCAUCGAGUGGUUCCGCUUCUCGUGUGUGAGUCUCAACCAUAAACCAAAGCGCAAGUGGUACUGUUCCAGAUGCCGGGGAAAGAACGAUGGGCAAAGCCCUUGAGAAGUCCAGAAAAAAAACAGGGCUUAUAACAGGUAG
Molecule: long non-coding RNA, 846 nt
Filed under: Homo sapiens (human)
Lineage: Eukaryota; Metazoa; Chordata; Mammalia; Primates; Hominidae
Description: non-protein coding lnc-CXCR3-13:1
Source: RNAcentral